This 122-nucleotide small RNA is filed under the name Mytilus galloprovincialis (Mediterranean mussel). Lineage: Eukaryota; Metazoa; Mollusca; Bivalvia; Mytilida; Mytilidae. The record is from RNAcentral.
GCGUGGAGCAUUUUUCAAUUUGACUUCAAAUAUUUAAAAAUGAAAAAUGCUCCAACGCGGAGCAUUUUUCAAUUUGACGUUUGAAAAUGAAAUAUGAAAAAUGAUUCAAUUUCUCAUUUUUC